GGCGUAAGGUUCCUAAUUCUCUGUCUACCGCUAGCCAUAGCAAUAUCGUCAAUCUGAAAAAACAAACAUAAAAAAUACAUGGCUAUAAACAAUUCAAAUUUAUUAUAUAAAAAUAAUCUAAAUCUAUUCUAAUUUGAUCAUAAUCUAACUCCAUCCUAAUAUAAUUCCAUCCUAAACUAAUUCCAAAACUAAACUAAUUCCAAACCUAAACUAACUAACCACCAAAAUCUUAAAAAAAAAAAAAAACCUAGAGAGAGAUGGGAGGUCGUUGUUAGAGAGAGGGUAAUGAGCAACUAAAUGGCUUCGCGAGGUCUGCCUAUAUAUAGAGUUUUGCUGUUAGUCGUAAAUUCGUUGUAAAUG
Molecule: long non-coding RNA, 360 nt
Filed under: Brassica napus (rape)
Lineage: Eukaryota; Viridiplantae; Streptophyta; Magnoliopsida; Brassicales; Brassicaceae
Description: long non-coding RNA (BNAP_LNC020003)
Source: RNAcentral